Molecule: long non-coding RNA, 135 nt
Organism: Rhododendron vialii
Lineage: Eukaryota; Viridiplantae; Streptophyta; Magnoliopsida; Ericales; Ericaceae
Exons: 2
Source: RefSeq, a predicted model, not a curated record
AACCAGAGGUUGUAGUUGACAUGUGUGACGCCGUAGAUGUUGAUGUUGUUUAACUUCAGUUCCUAGAGUUAAUUGUCCAGGUGUGGGCUCAUAUAUAUUGAGGACUUCCAUCGAUGGCCAUCUGAGGUUGAUGAA